RNAcentral lists this ribosomal RNA (404 nucleotides) under uncultured bacterium. RNAcentral describes it as "bacterial SSU rRNA". It matches the Rfam family "Bacterial small subunit ribosomal RNA", at positions 30 to 416 of the family's 1533-position model. The record is from RNAcentral.
AGCGAACGCUGGCGGCGUACUUAACACAUGCAAGUCGAACGAGGAUCAUCGGGUUAGCAAUAAUUCGGUGGUCCUAGUGGCGCACGGGUGAGUAACACGUGGGUGACCUGCCCUUGAGCUCGGGGAUACCCCCUUGAAAGGGGGGCGUAAUACCGGAUACGUUCCUCGGUCGAAAGACUGAGGAGGAAAGGUGGCGCAAGCUGCCGCUCUUGGAGGGGCUCGCGGCCUAUCAGCUAGUGGCGGGGUAACGGCCCACCAAGGCUAUGACGGGUAGCUGGUCUGAGAGGACGACCAGCCACACGGGGACUGAGACACGGCCCCGACUCCUACGGGAGGCAGCAGUGGGGAAUUUUCCGCAAUGGGCGAAAGCCUGACGGAGUGACGCCGCGUGUGGGACGAAGGCC